CCCUUGCUCCCAGCACCUCUCCUCGCGCAUCACACUGGAUUGAAUCGUUGCGCUUUCUGGUUCAGGUUGAAAUCCUGGGUCACAACUUAGGUCAUCUGUUCUGUUUGGGUACCGUCUGUUUGGAGCUCCGUCUGGUCCGCAAGGACAUCUGUUCUGGUCCCAAAAGGGCUGCGCUGCUAUUGUGUGUGG
Long non-coding RNA from Phyllostomus discolor (pale spear-nosed bat), 189 nucleotides. RefSeq lists it as uncharacterized. The transcript is spliced from 3 exons. The record is from RefSeq and is a predicted model, not a curated record. Lineage: Eukaryota; Metazoa; Chordata; Mammalia; Chiroptera; Phyllostomidae.